Molecule: long non-coding RNA, 1073 nt
Organism: Mustela lutreola (European mink)
Lineage: Eukaryota; Metazoa; Chordata; Mammalia; Carnivora; Mustelidae
Exons: 4
Source: RefSeq, a predicted model, not a curated record
UCAUCAGAGGCACCAGCCGGUCUGCAGGCAAGGCCCGCGCCGCACUAUGCCCGCGCCACAGUGGUUGCCCACUGUCGCCGGGAGGCCACCCGCCGGUGGUCCUGGGCCCGGGCCGUGUCGUCCAGCACUACGAGGCAGCCUCAAGUCGGCCCCUCCGGGAAGAGCCGCUGGUCAUUAGCCGCCCCCGGGUUUUCAGCCCCCGACGACAGCAGGCGCGCGGCUCCCAUCUCGGCUCCUUGGUUUGCAGCUCAGGUCCCAGGAGCAAGGGGGCGCCUCCCCACCAGGGCGCUCGCUUCGUGGCAGGCUCGGGGGUAGUGAACCAGGCCGAGCGGCGCCGCCAGAGGCCGCAGCUGAAGCCCGGCCGACGUUCUGAAGCCUCUGCGGACCGUCUGAGGAGACGCCCGGCCCGCCCCGCCACCGUCGGGGAGCUCCGGGAGUGCCAUCUUCAUUCCCGUCUCGGCCUAGGACUCCUUGAACUCUUGAGUCUUCUGCGCCCCCAGCAACCGUGAGCGCCCGAGUGGCACCACGCAGCCCCAAGGGCAAGACCUCUGCGGGCCCUGGGGUGCCAGAGCUCCGGCCUGCCCAGAAGAGCAGUGACGGGGGCGCCGCCAUCUUGGUGGCAGCACAGAAGGAACGCCGGGACCGUCGUCGCCCCCCAGACCGCUCAGAGCCUGCCUCCUACGCGACCUGGGACACAGCAGUGCCCAUCUUGAAAUGCUGUAAUGAACACAGAAUGAGUUAAUGUAUGUGAAGAACCGAAAACAGUUCCUGGCAUGCAAUAAAUACUCAGUAAUCAGCAUAUCAGCGGCCCAACUCUGGAAUUCUAGAAUAACUUUGAGUCAACAUGGGAAAUUUGGAGAAAAUGUUUGCAGCAAUGCCACAAACACACAUACAACUCAAUAUGCAAAUGAAGCCAGUCUUAGGUUUUACCCAAGCAACUCCCGUGAACCAACAUUUGUAGCUAGCAGACCUGCUUUGCCUGAAAUGUGAAAAGAAGUUCUUUAGAGAGAAGAAAAGUAAUAUAGAUUAGAAAUUUGGAGCUACAUAAAGAGAGGAAGAACAUCAAAGAAGAA